This 1191-nucleotide ribosomal RNA is filed under the name Podosordaria tulasnei. RNAcentral's name for it is "eukaryotic LSU rRNA". It matches the Rfam family "Eukaryotic large subunit ribosomal RNA", at positions 196 to 1409 of the family's 3401-position model. The record is from RNAcentral. Lineage: Eukaryota; Fungi; Ascomycota; Sordariomycetes; Xylariales; Xylariaceae.
CGGGACGCCUUAGAGGGUGAGAGCCCCGUACGGUUGGACACCAAGCCUCUGUAAAGCUCCUUCGACGAGUCGAGUAGUUUGGGAAUGCUGCUCUAAAUGGGAGGUAAAUUUCUUCUAAAGCUAAAUAUUGGCCAGAGACCGAUAGCGCACAAGUAGAGUGAUCGAAAGAUGAAAAGCACUUUGAAAAGAGGGUUAAAUAGCACGUGAAAUUGUUGAAAGGGAAGCGUUUGCGACCAGACCUUUUCUUAGCGGAUCAUCCGGUGUUCUCACCGGUGCACUUCGCUAAGUUUAGGCCAGCAUCGGUUUCUGUAGGGGGAUAAAAGCACUGGGAACGUAGCUCCUUCGGGAGUGUUAUAGCCCUAUGCAUAAUACCCUUAUGGGGACCGAGGACCGCGCUUAGGCAAGGAUGCUGGCAUAAUGGUCGUCAACGACCCGUCUUGAAACACGGACCAAGGAGUCGAACAUUUAUGCGAGUGUUUGGGUGUUAAACCCUCACGCGUAAUGAAAGUGAACGGAGGUGAGAGCCCUUACGGGUGCAUCAUCGACCGAUCCUGAUGUCUUCGGAUGGAUUUGAGUAAGAGCAUAACUGUUCGGACCCGAAAGAUGGUGAACUAUGCGUGGAUAGGGUGAAGCCAGAGGAAACUCUGGUGGAGGCUCGCAGCGGUUCUGACGUGCAAAUCGAUCGUCAAAUCUGCGCAUGGGGGCGAAAGACUUAUCGAACCAUCUAGUAGCUGGUUACCGCCGAAGUUUCCCUCAGGAUAGCAGUGUUGUUCUUCAGUUUUAUGAGGUAAAGCGAAUGAUUAGGGACUCGGGGGCGCUUUUUUGCCUUCAUCCAUUCUCAAACUUUAAAUAUGUAAGAAGCCCUUGUUACUUAAUUGAACGUGGGCAUUCGAAUGUACCAACACUAGUGGGCCAUUUUUGGUAAGCAGAACUGGCGAUGCGGGAUGAACCGAACGCGGGGUUAAGGUGCCGGAGUGGACGCUCAUCAGACACCACAAAAGGUGUUAGCACAUUUAGACAAUAGGACGGUGGCCAUGGAAGUCGGAAUCCGCUAAGGACUGUGUAACAACUCACCUAUCGAAUGUGCUAGCCCUGAAAAUGGAUGGCGCUCAAGCGUCCCACCCAUACCUCGCCCUCAGGGUAGAAACGAUGCCCUGAGGAGUAGGCGGCCGUGGGGGUCAGUGACGAAGC